Molecule: long non-coding RNA, 404 nt
Filed under: Panax ginseng (ginseng)
Lineage: Eukaryota; Viridiplantae; Streptophyta; Magnoliopsida; Apiales; Araliaceae
Description: long non-coding RNA (PGIN_LNC016973)
Source: RNAcentral
UAAGAUUUUAUAAACAUGAUUUUUGUCUUUUAACUUUUCAUUUAAAAAGUUUAUGAUUCGACUCCAAACCUACUAAACACCUUGUAACAUACAUUGAUACAUGUUUAAGGAGUAUGUAUGUUGUAGCAUCCUCAGAUCCGGGUCCCGAAUCACCGCGGAUCCGGUUCAAUCAUUCUACAACUGUUUGCGGAAGAUAUAAACAUAGAUUGUUUAUACAUUAAACUUUACACACUAUUCCCAAAAUUGAGUAACCUUAACUAAUACACAAUCAUGAACUGUCUAACACAUGACAAUACUAUUCUUCAACAUACUUUACAACUUAACUUCACAUUCUAUCCCAAGCUGAACUUGGCAUUAUCCUUUUCCUGUAUCUGGCCGUAUUCGCCUUAUCUGCAAUGUUUUAU